Molecule: ribosomal RNA, 253 nt
Filed under: uncultured bacterium
Lineage: Bacteria
Description: partial 16S ribosomal RNA
Rfam family: Bacterial small subunit ribosomal RNA
Source: RNAcentral
UACAGAGGUCUCAAGCGUUGUUCGGAUUCAUUGGGCGUAAAGGGUGCGUAGGCGGCGUGGCAAGUCUGGUGUGAAAUCCCGGGGCUCAACUCCGGAACUGCACUGGAUACUGCCUUGCUAGAGUACUGGAGAGGGAACUGGAAUUUACGGUGUAGCAGUGAAAUGCGUAGAUAUCGUAAGGAAGACCAGUGGCGAAGGCGAGUUCCUGGACAGUAACUGACGCUGAGGCACGAAGGCUAGGGGAGCAAACGGG